CUCUCCUUUCCUCCUCUAAAACGGCGAGAGACAGCAACUACUGGCCGGGGGGUUGUGAUUCGAAUUAGAUGAGACAGUACGUGUCCAAGCUUAGGACGGUGGUGGCACCGAAUAACGGUGGCUUCGCUGUGGGCAUGGCGAUUUCCCUCGCCGGCAUCCUUUUCACUGGAAGCCCGAGUGAAGACAGAGGAAGCACUGAGUCACCCCGCGCUAGUGCCUGGGGAUGUCCGCUGCAGCUUAUCCGAGAGACAGACACAGUCGUGCUGUCCCCGUGCAUCCUUCGCUUCACCACCCUUGAAUUCGGAAAGGGGAGGAAGAAGAGAUUUCUUGGCUCCUUGCAGCGUAUCCUCCGGUACAUACUACUCAGAGUGCUUUCCUUGUCUGCCAUCUCUUUUCAGUUAAUCAGGUUUCCUUCACUCAAUAAGUUUCUACUAAGAAAAUGUUCAAAUGUUUGUCGAAUAAACCCGAGAAUGUUUAGUUUGCUUCUUAA
This is a long non-coding RNA of Pteropus alecto (black flying fox), 490 nucleotides long. RefSeq lists it as uncharacterized. The record is from RefSeq and is a predicted model, not a curated record. NCBI's taxonomy places the organism in Eukaryota, Metazoa, Chordata, Mammalia, Chiroptera, Pteropodidae. The transcript has 2 exons.